AACGAACGCUGGCGGCAUGCCUAACACAUGCAAGUCGAACGAGACCUUCGGGUCUAGUGGCGCACGGGUGCGUAACGCGUGGGAAUCUGCCCUUGGGUCCGGAAUAACUCAGAGAAAUUUGAGCUAAUACCGGAUGAUGACGUAAGUCCAAAGAUUUAUCGCCCAGGGAUGAGCCCGCGUAGGAUUAGCUAGUUGGUGAGGUAAAGGCUCACCAAGGCGACGAUCCUUAGCGGUCUGAGAGGAUGAUCAGCCACACUGGGACUGAGACACGGCCCAGACUCCUACGGGAGGCAGCAGUGGGGAAUAUUGGACAAUGGGCGAAAGCCUGAUCCAGCAAUGCCGCGUGAGUGAUGAAGGCCUUAGGGUUGUAAAGCUCUUUUACCCGGGAUGAUAAUGACAGUACCGGGAGAAUAACGCCCCGGGCUAACUCCGUGCCAGCAGCCGCAGUAAG
Molecule: ribosomal RNA, 451 nt
Filed under: uncultured bacterium
Lineage: Bacteria
Description: bacterial SSU rRNA
Rfam family: Bacterial small subunit ribosomal RNA
Source: RNAcentral